Callithrix jacchus (white-tufted-ear marmoset) is the source of this 8851-nucleotide long non-coding RNA. RefSeq lists it as uncharacterized. NCBI's taxonomy places the organism in Eukaryota, Metazoa, Chordata, Mammalia, Primates, Cebidae. The record is from RefSeq and is a predicted model, not a curated record.
UAAAACCCAUGAUCCUCACUACAUGUUGUCUUUUUCUUUAAGAAAUACCUUGAGAUUGUUCUUGUCUCAUCUCCAUCUUCAUCUCAAUGAAGAUGAAAUACUCAUUUUAGUAGAAAUUUCAUAGAAAUCAACACAUGAGUUCCAAGUUAUUCCAAGUCAGUUUGGAAUAAAUUUACAACAUCUAUAUAAAUUUGAAUGAUGUAGACGUACAAGGCAUAUUACUUACUAGAUGUACAAGGCAUAUUAUUCAGUCUACUACUGAAAUACACAUUAUUACCCACUUCUUAUAUAUUCUGGUCUAGUGAGCCCCACAGCCACAGCAUCUUCCUGAGCCCUAUUUAGAUCACAAGUAGUAACAGGCCCCUGCUUACUGUGGGGGUUGUUCGCAGGAACACAGGUCUAACGAGUAGUAAUGACGUGGGUGAGCAUGAACAUCAUGCCAUUGACUUUACAGAGCAACAUAAAUAACCUCACUCAUGAAACCUGCCUUGGUGUGUUUGUAUCCAGGCGGAAAGCUACAUCAGUCUCCUGAAGGACCUGAGGUCCAGGAAUAUUGGGAACAGUGGUGCUGAAAAUUCUAGCAAUUGUUAUCUCGAUUCCCAUCACGACAGACCUAGAAUCUACCUCCUACUACAUUCUAGAGUCACUCUCAGGUAAAGGGGUAUGUGUUUGGCUUUAAGGCAUUUGUAAUCUACCUGAAGGCAAAAAGUGACCUUUUUCCAGUUGCUUUCUUUCCACAUCCCAUGAAAUUGAGCAUGCUGGAUUGAAGCGUUCAUUAGAACGGGUUCCAGUUGUAUUUCUCUUCUAACCUGGUCUUCUUCUCUGCCUAGCCCAUCAAACAUAUCAACCUUCUCCUGAUCCUAAAAAAGCAAAACAAUAAAACAUCAUAAUAAAAAUUUUACAUUUCUUCAACAAUGCCUCCAUUCACAUUCUUGCCUCAUAUCCAGCUUUUUAUUUUUAUUUUUACAGACAGGGCCAUGCUCUAACCCUGUAGAAUACCUGGGCUCAAGUGAUCCUCCCACCUUAGCCUCUGGCGUAGUUGGAACUAUAUGCGUGAGCCACCCCACCUGGUCUUUAGCUUUUUAUUGGUGUCAUACAUUUUUUUAUACUUCCUUUUAUUUAAAAAUACUUUUAAGGAAUUUUUUACAUUUGGGAACAAUCCCAGCCUUUCAGAAAAUGUGCAAGUAUAGUAUAAAGUCCUUUUUCUCCCAGAACAACUUAAGAGUAAAUUAGCGGCAUUACUCCUAAAUAAUUAUUAUUUGGGAAAGACCCCAGGGAUGUUUCAUCUUCAUCUUUCCCACAGCAGGAAAGGACACUGCUGUAUCCAGAGCUCUGCAUUUGGAACUGCCGAGCCUCGGGUGUGUAUAUCUUAACUUUACUAGGCAAUGCCCAAGUGUUCUCCAAAGUGACUGUCAGACUUUUUGAAACAAUGGUGUGGCCUCCACUUUUCUCAUCAACGAAUCUUUCUUAAACUCCACAUGGUGACCUGCUGUUGCUCUCAGGAAGGGUCCCUAUGAAGAUCAUGUCAGAUCCCUUACUGUCUACAGUAAAAUAUUCUUAUUGUCUAUCCUCAUCCUCCUUUUUUUUUUUGUGGUACUUGCAUUUUUUUAAACCAUCUUGUAUUUUUUGAAACUGUUCUUAUAAUUAGUUUCAUUAACUUGUCUGCUCAAUUGUUGAACAAAAAUGUAUUGGUUGAACACCUGUUAUGAUUUGGGCAACACAUAUCCAGUGGUGAAUAAAACAGAGAAACUCUCUGCUUUUUGGAACUAACAUCAAACUGAAUUAAUUAUCCUAAACCACAGAUCAGAUCAUGUUAUCAAAUACUUUUGAUACCUUCUAACUUCAUGUUAGCAAAUACUUUUAAUACCUUCUUCUAAUUUAAGAGAAAACCUUUACAAUCUUUCAUUCUGCAGCCUUCUGAAAUGAUAAUAUCCUACCAGCCUUGUCCUCUGUUACUAUCCUGACAUCAGUGAAUUCUAAACAGUGGGCCAAGACCCCUGCCUGGGAGAACCAAGUUAGUAUGCCAGUGGAGCCAUGAAUCAGUGUAUAUUCCAGUAUAUGCCUUGUUUCUAAUUUCUACAUUGUUCAAAUUUAUAUAGAUUUUGUAAAUUUAUUCCAAAGUGAAUUCGGAGUAACUUGGAACUCAUGUAUUGAUUUCUGUGAAAUACUACUAAAAGUAUGGCAAAUACAUACAUCAAUCUGCUAGAGGAAAAGCUCUUGCUGACCUGAUGUUGGACCUAGUUACGUAACACAGACCCCUGUGAGAUAAUGACUUACAAUCAAGGCCUAAUAGAUGCACUUACAAGGGUCCUGAACAGAGCGAGUAUCUUUUGGAACAUUUUUGCACUGGUGAAAAGUUGUUCUGCUUUCGUAGGGCUUUGUGCCAUGAAGUCAGUGAAUAUGCCAAUCCACUGUGCCUGGUUCAGCAGCAGGGGUUGUCUGCUCCCACAGUACCUGCUGAGCAUGCGUCAAUCCUCUUUCAGUUGAAUAUAAUUCUUAGCCACAUUAUCUUGUCUAAUAGAAGCAAAAAGCAACCAGAAAGAUUUCCUGAGGAAUUGCUGGCACAUGCAAAUGGAAACUGCUCAUUUUAAUUUGGUUGUCAUGACGUUUCUUCAGUUACCUCAUUGACGGGAAUCAUCACACUUCCUUACACUGUUUUCAGCCGUAUUGUCUGGAAAACACAGACUUGUUUUCUUAUUUGGAUAGCCUAAGAAAAAACCAUGAACAAGUCUGGAUGUUAUGGUUCUCCCGAGUGUUGCACAGAUGCAGAAAAUGUCACUUGAAGCUUUAACCUAUCAAGAGUAUAAUUGAAUGGCAGUCAAACAUUCACUGGGUUUAUUUCUUUGCCAAAGAGUCAGUCCUGGCAUUGUCUUUGGAUGGUAUCUUCAUUUUGGAAAUUGAGAAAAAUACACCCACAAAUGAUAAAUGUGGAGGGUACUAAACACAUACAGCUAAGAGAAAUAAAAUAUAAAUACAUUCACGUGAGCCAGGCUUGGUGGCUCAUGUCUAUAAUCCCAGCACUUUGGGAGGCCAAGGUCGGAGGAUCACUUGAGGUCAGGAAUUCGAGACCAGCCUGGCCAACAGUGAAACUCUGUCUCUACUAAAAGCACAAAAAUCAGCUGGGCAUGAUGGCACAUGCCUGUAAUCCCAGCUACUCAAGAGGCUGAGGCAGGAGAAUCACUUGAACCCAGGAGGUGGAGGUUGCAGUGAGCUGAGAUCGCGCCAUUGCACUCCAGUCUGCACAAGAGUGAAACGCUGUCUCAGAAAAAAAGAAUGUAUAUUCAUAUGAAACCUUCUGGAAGGCAUGGAGACAAACACAGGUACAAACUGGAAAACUGUUGAGUUUGGAGGGCUUACAUUGAACAAAUUGCUUCCAUCUGUGAAAAGAUGUAACAUUACCCCUCCUGGGAGAAGCAGGCACCCCAAUCUUUUAAGACGCCUCAACAAUCAUGGAAAAAGAGACAAGGAUAUAAGAGAAGCAUGUUCAGGUACUUGGUUGGGUCUUGCUGUAUUUCUUAGGUUUAAAAGGGUAUGAAAUUUAUCUGCUAGAAGUAUUCUCUGUGUCUCUGAUCUUUGAUCUUAGGUAUACCCAUAGCUCUUCAAUUACACUGAAUUACACUCUCUAAUUUAUCCAUUUGCUAUUCUUCCUUAUAAACAUUUUAAGCAUAAGCCAUUUAGGCCCCCAAAUUCAUCAGAUACCUGUUUUUCCAAUGCUAAUUCACUUACAACUCUCUAAGAAGAUGGUAUCUCCAUACUAAGCACAGUUAGAUUUUUGUUACUUGAUAAGCAGUCAAACCAUGUGGCAAGUCUGUCUCAACCUAUUUUUUUUUUUUUGCAUUUCAUAUUUUUUGAUCCAGUAGAUAAGUUUUAGAAUGACAAGUUGACUCAAGGAAUCUAGGAACAAGAGCAAGGUGACUUUUGGAGUGUUUUCAUCUCAGAGUAAGCAAAGAAUCAAAAUCAGACCUGGAAGACUUCUCUAUUUCUGUUUCAGCAGAUUUUUUAUCAAACACAUCCCUAUCCAUAUUUUUUUAUGAAGAAUAAAGAAACUGGAAACAGCAGCUCUUUUGGAGUAUGAUGCUUGGAUUUGUUGAGUGGCUGGAUUCUAUGAUUAUAUUGGUUCUUAAGCUCCAGAGGACAGUGACCUUCAGAGUCCAUUGCCGAAGGCAAAUGUUCUCUAGAAGGGUCCUUUAAAAAAGGACCAAGCAAGCAGAUUCAGUCAUUUUUUAUGCAACUUCCUUUUGACCUUUCCCUUGGCAAACACAUCAGCAAAUUGCAUGUGGAAUGGAAAUGUGCUUGAUCUGGUCAAAUGACUUCUGUUGAUAUUUACUUCUCAAUGUUCAAGGGAGAAAUUGAGAGUAUUGUUUUAUUUAUUCUGAUUACAUAUGGUAACAAGACUAUAUAAUAUGAUUGUACACUAGAGAAGAACAGGUUUGAUAGCUAACUAGAAAGGCACUUUCAGGAUCCACUGAAAACAAAAAGAGGCUCUCUGACCCAGAUAGGAAAAGUAGAAAAACAGAGGGCAGAAAUAUGGAGAAUGAUUGUGAAAAGACUUGUUUUCUUGCACUCUGGGAACUUUACAGACUUUGGUCUUUUGUGGGAAGUAGACUACACAGGCAAGAGCAAUCUAUGCCUUCCUAAAAGAUAGGAGAUGAAGCUACCACUGGAUUAAAAUGACAACACAGAAGGACCAGAACCAGUAAAGAAAAGCGAGCUGACAAAAUGGGAGCUUAAAGAAGAUUCCCAGCCACUUUUAAGACUUAGUGAAUGCUGUUUGAUCUUAGGAAACUAAGGUCAUGUGCUUGUUUGAAAAAACAAAUGAAGUAUCUUUGAGAAGAGUGACUACAUUUUACAGAUGGAUUUCUCAGGAAUUCCCAGUUUCUGUAUGUAAGCCUGUCCAUGAGUGUGGAUGGAUCAAAAAGAGAUGGAUGACUAAUGAGAGUACGUGCAUCAAAAAAGAGAUGAGUGACAGAAAUAGUCAGCAAAGCAGCAUUUUAAAUAAACUGAUUUAUUUGCUAUAAAAUUUAUUGAUUCCCUAUUAUUUGCUCAUUAAAAGCAUUUGGGACUCAAAACAAAUCUGCCCUUUCAGGUAGUUUAUAUUCUUAUGGGGAAAGAGAGACAAUUGACCACAGUAAAUAAAACAUAUAAUAUAUAAGUUGAUGAGAAGUGCUAUGGAGAAAAGCAAAGAAGUUAGAAAAGUUCUCACUGAUAAAAUUAUAUUUGAGAGCAGACUUGAAGGAGGUGAAGGAACAAAGCCUGGGAUAAAAGGAGGUAAAAUAUUUGAGGCAGACAAAAGAAGAAGCAUAAAGACCCCGAGGUAGGGAAAGGCUUGGCACAUUCAAACAUCUUCAGAGUAAAAUAGGUGAGAUAAGAUGCAGAAGAAGUGAUAUUUUAAAAAGAUACUUAGGAAUCAUAUUAUGAAGGAUCUUGUAGGUGAUGUAUGUCAGUUAUCUAUUUCUUCAUCACAAACUACCCUCAAGCCUACUGGCAAUAAUAGCCAUUUAUUUUGCUAACAAAUCUGCAAUUUAAGCAGGGAUUGGUGGAAAAAGCUUAUCUUUGCUCCAUAUGGCAUCGCAUGGGGCAGCUUGACUAGGGGCUGGGGCAUCCACGUAAAUAAUAGCUUAGUCACAUCCUGGCAAGGUAGUACUGGCUGUAAUCUGUGAUCUUGGCCAGAACUAUGGGUUGUAGACCUCAUUUCUUCUCGUUAUUAUCUUUCUCUGGGUAUCUUCGGCUUCCUUACAGAUUGGUGGCUAGUUUCCAAGUGUGAGCUUCCCAAGGGAGCAAGGAGGAAAUGAAUGGCCCUUGUGACCUAGCCUUGGAAGUCACAGAGCAUCACCUUCUAUAUACUCUACUGAUCAAGUCAGCCUAAAGGUCUGUUCAGGUUCAGUGGGGAGACACAUAGACCCCAUUUCUUGAUGAGGAAAUGAUGAAGCUCGAUAUGGGGCAAAAGAUAUUAUGUGGCUAUCUUUGGAAAAUACAAUCUGUCACACCACAAUAACAGCUUUGGAAUUUACUCUGAGUGAAAUGGGAGCCCAUUGUAGUGUUGUCAGCAAAGGAAUGACUUAAAUUUUCAAUAGAUCGUUCAGUCUUUUUUGUUGAAAAUAGACUGUAUUGAGCAAGGGUUGAAAUAGGUUGAACAGUAAAUAGGCUAUUGUUAUAAUGAGGUGAGAUGUGAAAAUGACUUGGACCAGAGUUGUAACAGAGGAGAUGGUGAGGAGUAGGAGACUUUGAAUAUAUUUUGAAGGUAGAGCCAACAGGAUUUGUUGAGAUAUUACGAGCGGGGUGUGUGAGAAAGAGAGGAGUCAUGCAUAAAUCCUUGAUGUCCCUUCAGAGAGUAUGUCCCCUCUCUGCUAUAAAUGACUAGUUUUUAUUAGAUGCUAUCACCAUAAAAAAUUCAAAAAUGAACGAAAUACCAAAACAAAACCUGUUCGAAUGCAGCAGAAAGUUCCCAGUGCAGCCAGGAUUUGGGGAUGCAAGACGUCAAAGGGCAGGGAAACUCGUGAAAGUGAGCCCAACAUCUCAUACUAUUUUUUCCUUUGAGUCAUUUGCCAGUUUAUGAAUGGGGCAUGUCUGAAAGCUCAGAAGCUGAGCAGAAAUAUGAGGCUAACUGGCCAAGAAGCUGGUCAAAGUUGACAGUAAUCUCAAGGGGUUAAAGAGACAAAAACCGGAAUUCAAGGCUAUAAACGUAGCCAAGAGUAGAGGGAGCAAGAUCCCAGACAGCAGGAACGUGCAAAAAAAGGUACUCCAAAAAAGUGAGCUAAACAUUUGGUGAUCCUUUUCCUUUUAUGAAGACAGUUUACAAAAGGCCUAGAGGCUGAGAAGAAAAAGACAAAAGUGACUGAAAGGCUAAGAAGUUAAGCAGGACUUUUAAAAGUCUCAUAAUAUUUAUGAAGUCCAGAGGUUGCUAAGGAUGAGAGACCUUAAUAAACAUCCUAGAUUUGCAGUAAAUACCUGACAGGGCUAUAGCUAGGAGUAAAAGAAAACCUGAAACAAAUUAGCAUUCACAAAAUUGACAACUCAGCAUAGAAUCACCUUGAUACCAGGCUAAGUUAGGACGAUCUGCUUCUAUUCUAACUGCCUGCCAGAAGCAGAAAUGCAUUCUCCACAUAUCAUGCAGAACCUCCACAAUUUUUCAUAAACAAUAUUUAUAAUGUAAGCAAUAGUUGUCAGGUCCAGGUAUACUAAAGGACAGGAGUAAGAAAAAAAACAGACGAUACAAAUAGACCUACAGGUAAUCAACAUUAAAUUGAUGAAAAUAGACUUUAAAACAACUGGGUUUAGUGCAUUCAAGAUAAUUGAUGAUAAAGUAAAAAUUUCAGCAGAAGACUGAAAGCCAUUAAAAAAUAGAAAUUCUGGAAUUAAAAUACAACAAAUUGAAUUUAAAAACUUAAAAGAUAUAUUUAAUAGAAUACUAAAUAGAGAUAAAGAGGAAUUAAUGAACUAAAAGACAAAUAAGAGAAAAAUGACCAGAGAGAGAGAAUAUAGCAAAGAAUGUAAAGACAUAUACAUGGUCAAAAGGUCUAAACUGUAUGUUAUUAGAUUCCUAGGAGGAGAAGAAUGAGAAAAAGAAAUAUUGUAUCAAAAAUAAUGGCAUUAAGUUUCUAAAACUGAUGAAAACCCUCAAGCCACUGAUUCACGAAGCACUAUGAAUUCAAAAGGAACAUAAAGAAAACUACACUGAGUCUUAACAGUAAAACUACUGAAAUAAAACAACAAGAAAAUAUUGAAAAAAAAAUAGCUGGAGAUAAAGAAAACAAUAGCUAGAAAUAAGUUACCUCAGACAAUAAAAUUAUAUCUGAUUCUUCAGUAGAAACAAUGUAAGCCAGAAGACAAUGGAAUGACAUCUUUGCUAAAACAAAAUAACUGCCUACCUAGAAUUCUAUACUUAGGGAAAAUACUCUUUAAAAAUAACAAAAGUUGGCCAGGUAUGGUGGCUUGCACCUGUAAUCCCAGCACUUUGGGAGGUUGAGGCAAGUGGAUCACUUGAGGUCAGGAGUUCGAGAUCAGCCUGACCAACAUGGUGAAACCCCAUUUCUACUAAAAAAUAAAAAUACAAAAUUAGACAGACAAGGUGGCACAUGCCCAGAAUCCCAGCUACUUGGGAAGCUGAGGCAGGAGAAUCACUUGAACCCAGGAGGUGGAGGUUGCAGUGAACCAAGAUCACACCAUUGUACUCCAGCCUGGGCAAGAAGAACAAAACUCCAUCCCUCCAAAUGAAUAAAGAAAUUAAUUUUUUUUAAUUAAAAAAAAAGGAGUAAACAAGUGGCCAAGAAAUACAUGAAAACAUGUUCAACAUUUCUAAUCAUCAGAUAAAUGCAAAUUAAAACCAUAGUGAGAUACCAUGUUACACCAGUCAGAAUAACUAUUAAAAAGUCAAAAGACAACAGGUGCUGAUGUGGAUGCAGAGAAAAGGGAACACUUAUACACUGUUGUAAAUUAGUUCAACCUCUGGAAAACAGCAUGGAGAUUUCUCAAAGAAAUAAAAAUAGAACUGUCACUCAGCUCAGCAAUUCCAUUACUGGUUAUCUACACAAAGAAAGAGAAAUCAUAUUUAAAACAAGACACCUGCACUUGUGUGUUCAUUGCAGCAGUAUUCACAACAGCAGCCAUGGGACUAACCUAAGUGUCCCCCAUUGGUUGACUGGAUAAAGAAAACGUGGUAUGUACACCAUAGAAUACCACAAAGCUAUAAAAAAAGAAUGAAAUCAUGUCUUUUGCAUCAAGAUGGUUGUAGCUGGAGGCCAUUAUCCUAAGUGAAUCAACAUAGAAACAGAAAACCAAAUACUGCACGUUUUCACUUAUAAAUGGGAGCUAAACAAUGGGUACACAAAGCCAAAAAGAUGAAAAUAAUAGA